CACUAAGAAGCUAAAAUGGGUUAUAGCAUCAGCCUUUUAAGCUGAGGAGUGAUGUCCCCCAAACAUCCUUAGUGG
RNAcentral lists this transfer RNA (75 nucleotides) under Ctenogobius saepepallens (dash goby). Its description in RNAcentral is "tRNA-Lys". It matches the Rfam family "tRNA". Rfam says of the family: Transfer RNA (tRNA) molecules are approximately 80 nucleotides in length. Their secondary structure includes four short double-helical elements and three loops (D, anti-codon, and T loops). Lineage: Eukaryota; Metazoa; Chordata; Actinopteri; Gobiiformes; Gobiidae. The record is from RNAcentral.